Molecule: ribosomal RNA, 450 nt
Filed under: uncultured bacterium
Lineage: Bacteria
Description: bacterial SSU rRNA
Rfam family: Bacterial small subunit ribosomal RNA
Source: RNAcentral
ACUCCUACGGGAGGCAGCAGUGGGGAAUAUUGCACAAUGGGGAAACCCGUACGAUGCAGCCAUGCCGCGUGAGUGAUGAAGGCCCUAGGGUCGUAAAGCUCUUUCGCCAGGGAUGAUAAUGACAGUACCUGGUAAAGAAACCCCGGCUAACUCCGUGCCAGCAGCCGCGGUAAUACGGAGGGGUUAGCGUUGUUCGGAAUUACUGGGGCGUAAAGCGCGCGUAGGCGGACUGGAAAGUUGGGGGUGAAAUCCCGGGGCUCAACCCCGGAACUGCCUCCAAAACUCCCAGUCUUGAGUUCGAGAGAGGUGAGUGGAAUUCCGAGUGUAGAGGUGAAAUUCGUAGAUAUUCGGAGGAACACCAGUGGCGAAGGCGGCUCACUGGCUCGAUACUGACGCUGAGGUGCGAAAGUGUGGGGAGCAAACAGGAUUAGAUACCCUGGUAGCGACUGA